UGCUGAUGACUAAAUACCUGAAUGAGGAAAUUCAGCAUUAUUGCGUCAGAUGAUGGCGUAAUGGUGUGCACUUUUCUUCUAGUAAGACGUUGCGAUCCAUUAGAAAAGUAUUAUGAAUCUGUAUAUAGGCCCGGGUAGGAGUUUAUACAUUAAGCGAGUAACAUGGCUUUGUUGCAAUGUGAAUGCGUGUAAACUACUUGGUGUUCUUACAGAUGUCUGAUGGUAUUAUGACUAAAUGUCGCAUACAAUUUUCGAAUUGAUACUCCAUCGUGGGUAUAAUGCGUACAUUAUCAGCAACGUUUUAAAUUUAGGAUACCAUCAGGACCCGUCUUGAAACACGGACCAAGAAGUCUAACUUGUAUGCAAGUCAAUGGGAUUAUUAAAACCUAUAGGCGAAAUGAGAUUAACUUGUUAAUGGGAUUACAAAUGGUAUUAAUCAUACUGUUUUUCCAUCCCCGGGUAUCUUAAUGUAAGUACUGUGGCCUCGGUUGCGUGUACUACAAAGAUAUACCGUGAGCAUACAAGCUGUGACCCGAAAGAUGGUGAACUAUGCCUGAUCAGGUUGAAGUCAGGGGAAACCCUGAUGGAAGACCGUAGCAAUUCUGACGUGCAAAUCGAUUGUCAGAGUUGGGUAUAGGGGCGAAAGACCAAUCGAACCAUCUAGUAGUGUUUUCCCCUCCAAA
Molecule: ribosomal RNA, 683 nt
Filed under: Culicoides grahamii
Lineage: Eukaryota; Metazoa; Arthropoda; Insecta; Diptera; Ceratopogonidae
Description: eukaryotic LSU rRNA
Rfam family: Eukaryotic large subunit ribosomal RNA
Source: RNAcentral